Molecule: non-coding RNA, 72 nt
Organism: Bryopsis sp. KO-2023
Lineage: Eukaryota; Viridiplantae; Chlorophyta; Ulvophyceae; Bryopsidales; Bryopsidaceae
Source: the annotation of a GenBank genome assembly
GGCAGAAUAGUUUAGUUGGUAGAACAGUGAAAUCAUAAUUCAUAAAGGAGGGUUCGAACCCCUCUUCUGCCU